UAUCAGGGGUAAACCUGAGAAACCCGAAAGGUCGAAUGGGGAAAUUCAUUCGCGUUUCGAUUGUCGGCGUUGAGCGGUUGCGUGACGGUCGAGGUACGCUUCGUCCGCACCUUUCGUUUUUCGAACCGACUUCGAACGCGUGCACUUUUCUCCUAGUAGGACGUCGCGAUCCGUUGGGUGUCGAUCUAAGGCCGGUGGAGGAGCUCGUUUGGCUUGCCUUGCGAACCCGCCGUGUCCCGAUCGACUCGCUUCGACGGUAUAAAGAUGGCGAGGGGCCGCUACUCAGUUAGCGUUCGACCUACGGCAAGCACGUACGGUGUGAUGGCGAUCAGACCUGGUCGGAUCCCGUCCCCGGACGACUGUUGGCACGUAGUGUUCUCGAACAGACCUCUUUGAAACGCCGAUCUGCGACGCUACUGCUUUGGGUACUUUCAGGACCCGUCUUGAAACACGGACCAAGGAGUCUAGCAUGUGCGCGAGUCAUUGGGACAUAACUAAACCUAAAGGCGUAAUGAAAGUAAAGAUUCGUCUUGCACGAAUCGAGGGAAGAUGAGUGGUUUGCCCUUAAAGUGGCCGCUCCGCAUUCCCGGGGCGUCUCGUUCUCAUUGCGAGAAGAGGCGCACCAAGAGCGUACACGCUGGGACCCGAAAGAUGGUGAACUAUGCCUGGUCAGGACGAAGUCAGGGGAAACCCUGAUGGAGGUCCGUAGCGAUUCUGACGUGCAAAUCGAUCGUCGGAACUGGGUAUAGGGGCGAAAGACUAAUACGAACCWCCAAA
This 777-nucleotide ribosomal RNA is filed under the name Microrhopala vittata. RNAcentral describes it as "eukaryotic LSU rRNA". It matches the Rfam family "Eukaryotic large subunit ribosomal RNA", at positions 407 to 947 of the family's 3401-position model. The record is from RNAcentral. Lineage: Eukaryota; Metazoa; Arthropoda; Insecta; Coleoptera; Chrysomelidae.